GGAGACGUCUGGAGCUAAGCGGCUGCAAGCGGCAGUGGUGUUGUAGCUUUGGUGGAGAGAAGGUCUCCACCAUGUUUGUCUCCCUGAAGCUGCACUGCUUAUCAGCGCACACAGCUGUAAUGAGUAACUCCAGUGUGGUCGAAUGAGGGAGUGCCCUAAGAUUUUAUGCACAUAAGCAAUCGAGGUUGUUAAGUGUCUUUGCCCACUAGUGGAGGCAGCUUAUGGACCUGAUAUUCAAACUGCAACCUGUCAGGAAUGGCUGGGACUAUUCCCUGCCUGGACACUAGGGGGACAUCCUGACAGGCCUUGUUUGUCUGUAUCAUGUGCCUUUGUUUUUGUUUUGUGUUCGGGUGUGUUAGCCCUGCCCUUUCCAUUUUCCAUUCCUGCCUCUGCACACCUGUUCCUUAUGUCACUAUGAUUGUCCCCCCCUAUUUAUUCCAGUUGUCUUGGUCUUUGUGUUUGUGUCUUUGGUUUGCUUUUAUGUCUCCUUUGUCUUCCCCAGUGCCACAACUGAUCACAACCUUGUGAUCAGUAACGCAACACCUUAAACAUACCAUGUUUUUGAGAUCACUUUGGACAGAUGAGCCCUGCACGAGUUCAUGAGUCUUACAUCUAUUAUUAAUCAGGCAGCAGAGACAGGCAGCAAAACAAAAGCCUGUCCUCUGGGUGCCGUGCUCAGUUGACACACACCUUAAAGAGAGACGUCCAGCUCCCAUGUCGGUCUGUGCGCUCGCUUUGAGGACUGCUUCAAGUGACAGCAGAGAAGUCUUGUCUAAGCACUUUGAUCACUCAAAAGUCUGAAACCAUUUGCAGAGACUGAACUCAUGGUAUGUUUCAGCUGUCAGGAGAAAGAGCCAUCCGAUCAUAAAGAGGAGUACACUCUGUCUCCCAAGCAGGGAUUCUUCAGGAUUACCAUAGAAUAUAGAGAGAGAGCAUUUUCUGUAGAUGUGUGCAUUUUCCAGCCUGCAGUGUGUGCCAUCAGCUGAUAAAAUACAAUAAGCCCAUGUAAUACAGGCAGCUCAUCAGUCACCAAAUACGUAAUUUUCCUCCAGUUGCUUCCAGUUUGGGGUCGCCAGAGCGGAUCACGUGGUCCGCGUAUUAGAUUUGGCACAGGCUUUAUGCCGGAUGCCCUUCCUGAUGCAACCCUCCCAUUUUUAUCUCGGGAUAUCUCGGGACUGGCACUGAGCGUUAACUCUUCAGUGGCUGGGUUAGCGCCCUGCCCAGAAAUCUAACCCAGGCCGCGGUAAUGAGAGCACCGGAUCCUGCCGCCGGACCACCUGGAGGCUAUUCUGUAAAAUCCAUAAGAAGUUCUGGGAAAUGCUAAUUGUAGAUAUUAAAUAAAUUCAUGACACCUUGAUUGAAGUAUCAGCAGAAUCAUGUGCUGCAUUUGAAUCGGUCACUGAAACUGAACAAAAAUAAAGAUGGAUUGACAUUUUAAUAUUUUAAUUAUACUCCUCCAGCUG
This is a long non-coding RNA of Tachysurus fulvidraco (yellow catfish), 1463 nucleotides long. RefSeq lists it as uncharacterized. NCBI's taxonomy places the organism in Eukaryota, Metazoa, Chordata, Actinopteri, Siluriformes, Bagridae. The record is from RefSeq and is a predicted model, not a curated record. The transcript is spliced from 4 exons.